CCUACGGGUCGCAGCAGUGGGGAAUAUUGCACAAUGGGGGAAACCCUGAUGCAGCGACGCCGCGUGAGUGAAGAAGUAAUUCUUGAUGUAAAACUCUAUCAGCAGGGAAGAAAAUGACGGUACCUGAGUAAUAAGCCCCGACUAACUACGUACCAACAGCCGCGGUAAUACGUAGGGGGCCAGCGUUAUCCGGAUUUGCUGGGUGUAAAUGGAGCGUAGACGGGAGUGCAAGUCUGGAGUUAAAAGGGGGGGCUCAACCCCCGGACUGCUCUGGAAACUGUAGGGCUGGAGUGCAGGAGAGGUAAGUGGAAUUCCUAGUGUAGCGGUGAAAUGCGUAGAUAUCAGGAAGAACCCCAGUGGCGAAGGCGGCUUACUGGAGUGUAACUGACGUUGAGGCUCGAAAGCGUGGGGAGCAAACAGGAUUAGAUACCCUAGUAGUC
This 440-nucleotide ribosomal RNA is filed under the name uncultured bacterium. Its description in RNAcentral is "partial 16S ribosomal RNA". It matches the Rfam family "Bacterial small subunit ribosomal RNA", at positions 338 to 795 of the family's 1533-position model. The record is from RNAcentral.